Molecule: long non-coding RNA, 2316 nt
Organism: Prinia subflava (tawny-flanked prinia)
Lineage: Eukaryota; Metazoa; Chordata; Aves; Passeriformes; Cisticolidae
Exons: 5
Source: RefSeq, a predicted model, not a curated record
CCGCAAGGAAGCCCGUGCAAGCCGCGACUGGAAGGAAGGUCGGCACGGAGAAGACGCUGCCUUAACCACUCGCCUUUCAUCUUUCAUCCGCCGGCCCAGAUUUCCCCGGAACGCCUCCUCUGCUCCGUGCCCGGGGCGGCCUGGCUGGUUGAUUUGGGGGAAAACCGGGAUGCUGUGAGCAGCCAGGGUGGUGUGUGCAAACUGCUGCCCUGCAAAUAUUCAGCAGAGGAUGCACAGUCCCAGGGAUCCUGGGAGUGCUGCCAGCAGGUGAGGUGCCAUGGCCAGAGCUGUCACUGUUACACAGCUCUGAAAUGAGCCCAGAAGUGAAGGAACAGUCACUCCCUGCUCAAACCCACUGCUCCUGGGGAUCUUGGGGGUCCCUGCCACACAGUCUGAGCAGCUUUUUCCUGCACCAUGGAUGUGGGGGAGUUCUGAUAAUCUCAGCCACAGCUGAAGAGAGAGCUGGAAGUCUUCCAGGAGAGCUGUUGUUUGGUGUCUCUCGUGACGUUGAUUUUCGGUCCUUCUAGAGUCCAGAUUCCUUUGAUUUUCAGUUCUUCAAGAGCCCAGAUUCUUGCCAGUCUGGACAAACAUUGCUGAGAUAACCCAACUGUUAUAAAGGUAAAACUGGGGAGGCUCGAGAACCAAUCACUUUGCAACCCCACUGUGAACCCCACGCACCUCCCCAGGGCAGCUGCACCUCCCAGCCCCUUUUGUCCUCCCAUCAGACAGAUCUUAACGGAGGAGGAGGAGUAGCAGCAGAGGAUGUGAGGAGCAGAGUCACGGUCAGAUAACAUCUCCCCAGGCUACGAUCCACAUCAAGUACAAAACAGGAUUGAUGAAGUGCUGAGGCAGGUCAGAGCUACCACAGAUCUCUCCUGAAGAUGGAAGCCAAACCCUGCAGUCCAUCUCCUUUUCCAUCAGUGGGAGUUUUGCCCCUGGAUGCAGCAAACGGCAUUUUCGGAGCCCUGAGGGGUUGGAAACCCACCAUCAGCCCUGACAGGAGCAGGGAAGAUGGAUACAGCACAUUCUGGAGUUGCAGCUCUGUCCUCAGCUCCUGAGCGUGCCUUGGCCUCUCCUGAGCUGCUACUGAGAUGCAGAUGGGGUUCAGCCCCAAUUCCCAGAGCUGCUCUGUGAGCAGGAAAAUGCAGCCAAAGCGUGGGUGCAUCUGGGUGGAGCCCUCUGUGGAUUAAACCCUUUGCUGGAGCCCUGCAUCCCCCCACACUGUGCAUCCCCAGUUUGUGCCCCUUCCUCUUGCUGAAACCUUGCACUCACAAAUGUUUCAUUCAUAAAGAAUCCCUUCACCUCCCGUGCUGAAAUUCUCACGCUCUACUUAGUUCUAUCCAUAGCUACAUAGGAUGAAAUUAUGUAUAAACCCAGCACCAGAAAUAGAGAGGGACUAAAUCAGCAGCCUGGAUUCAGCCUCCACCCAAGCUGGGAGUCGCUGGAAGCUGGACUUGCCUCCAGACUUUGUGGCUGGAGCCCAUCUGCAAGUCUGAAAGCCAAAAUGAAAAUAGAGAAGAAACCAAAUAACAUGGCAUCUCCUCGUCUUGACCACAGGCUCCCUGGGGCAGGGGCUGUUUGUUUGUCUCAAGAAGAACAAUUUCACUGCCUGUGAAUGAGGAGCUGGAGCAGGCUCAGGGAGUCUCGCUGCGGGAAGGGGCCGAGAGGAGCAGAGCUCACAAGGGGGAGGUGGGCUUGUUGUUCCUCCAGCCCCAGAGCAGCCACCAGCAGGAUGGGCAGCAGCAGACAGGGCUAUGGGGAAGGCCAUGAUUCCCCCUCUUCAUUCCUCAGCACUACUGUGAGCUCCAAAAUCUCUCAAAAAAAGUGAUACCAUUGGCUACCACCUCCUUGGCUCCCAUCUGGCUCUGGGGUGUGACAAUAAGGCAGCUCCUCCUGCACAGUGCCUGGGGAAGAGGAUGGAGGGGAGCCAGGCGAAGGAGGUGCUGGCACAGGGGCACCCCCAUCCCCUGGGCAGCUCAGGGGCUCAGGGGGGUGGUGGGGCCUCUGGUCCCUUCCAGCUGAAACAGUUCUACCCUCACCCUGGGGCCUGAGGAGCUGCCACUCAGCAGAGUGAACGUGUGCCUCUCCUGUCUCUGGCUUUGAGCUAUCCUGGUCCAUCAGGAAACAAAUGCAUUUGGUUCUCUAAAUGGGAGAAGGGUUUUUGUCAUCGUCGUCAUUUUUCUAGUUUCGGUCUUUGUUAGCAGCCCUUCCUCUUCCUCCCUGCUCUCCAAAAUAGCAAAAAGCUGCAUCCUCCUCCCCAGCUGCCUCUUGUAGGUUGCUGCAACACCCAGUGCUUCUCCUCAACACCAGCAGCAA